CUGUCGAGGAUCGUCUCACUUUUCAAGAUCAAUUGGACAUCGCCGCGAUAAGACAGGAGUUCGAGCAUCAUCCGGGGCACGGACAUCGCCAGGAGAAGAUCGUUCACGUACCGAUAAAAUCAUCGGUUCCAGAGAAUCAUCACAAAACGCAGAUAUCCCUUCACAUACCGUUGCAUCAGAAGAUCGUUAUUCACCAACCACGUAUCCAUAAAGAAGAGAAAAAGGUUCACCCGUUGAUCGCGUUCUUUCAGAAACUUCAUC
Molecule: unclassified non-coding RNA, 261 nt
Filed under: Athalia rosae (coleseed sawfly)
Lineage: Eukaryota; Metazoa; Arthropoda; Insecta; Hymenoptera; Athaliidae
Description: misc RNA ENSAEAG00005006825.1
Source: RNAcentral